RNAcentral lists this ribosomal RNA (414 nucleotides) under uncultured microorganism. RNAcentral describes it as "bacterial SSU rRNA". It matches the Rfam family "Bacterial small subunit ribosomal RNA", at positions 9 to 420 of the family's 1533-position model. The record is from RNAcentral.
GAGUUUGAUCGUGGCUCAGAUUGAACGCUGGCGGCAUGCCUUACACAUGCAAGUCGAACGGCAGCAUGAUCUAGCUUGCUAGAUUGAUGGCGAGUGGCGAACGGGUGAGUAAUACAUCGGAACGUGCCCUGUAGUGGGGGAUAACUAGUCGAAAGAUUAGCUAAUACCGCAUACGACCUGAGGGUGAAAGUGGGGGACCGCAAGGCCUCAUGCUAUAGGAGCGGCCGAUGUCUGAUUAGCUAGUUGGUGGGUAAAGGCCCACCAAGGCGACGAUCAGUAGCCGGUCUGAGAGGACGAUCAGCCACACUGGGACUGAGACACGGCCCAGACUCCUACGGGAGGCAGCAGUGGGGAAUUUUGGACAAUGGGCGAAAGCCUGAUCCAGCAAUGCCGCGUGUGUGAAGAAGGCCUCGG